RNA transcript from Acinonyx jubatus (cheetah), 3164 nucleotides. RefSeq lists it as uncharacterized. NCBI's taxonomy places the organism in Eukaryota, Metazoa, Chordata, Mammalia, Carnivora, Felidae. The record is from RefSeq and is a predicted model, not a curated record. The transcript is spliced from 10 exons.
CUAAGGUGGCCCGCGGAGUGGGCGAGAUUUGUUUGCUUGUUUGUUUGGUAGCAAUCUUUGUUUCCUGUCAACUUCUCUCACAGAAAAAAUAUGGAAAGGCCAACUGCCAGUCUUCACCGCGUCAAAACAAAUGUCUGGUUGGGCUCGCCGAGUUACUAUUGUUGGCGAAGUCCAAGGAAUUGAGGAUGAAGAUGAAAGAAAAGAGCCUCCUAAUUGUACACACCAGAGAGAGAAGCAGGUGUUUAUACCACUGGAACUUUGCCUUGCAGAUUAUUUACAAAAUCUUGCUCCUUCAUGCCCAUCUCAGAACAAACACAAUCUGCAUUCAGAACAGGACCGUUUACAAGUUCAAUGGAGUUAUUUUGGACUGAGUGACCAAAAGAUGAUAUACACAGAGAUGAGAAGAGCUGAUUUGGGCAGCAGGCACGGAAACUGGUUCAGGGUGCUGAACAAGGAAAGGAGAGAAAAUAUGACUCAUUGCUCUUGGUGUAAUCCCCAAGGACCAGAGAAGCUCUACUUUAAAGCAACAUCAAUACCUCUGGAAAGUUUAUUGGCUCUGCCUUCAAAAUAUAUUCAGAAUUUAGGAAGUUCUUCAGGCAAAAGGAAUAUAAGACCAACCAUAAAACUUGGAUCUACAUCAAGAAAUGAAGAGCAUUGGAAAUGGAAUCAAGCAAGGCUGGCAAUGAAUGAUUCAAGUAAAUCACUGGAUGCCUUUAUCUCUGGGUAUUUGGCAGUUUGGUGCAGACACUAAAGGAAAGAGAGUCCUCAAAGAGUGACCAAUGGAAGAGAAGAGACCAAAGUUCAACAUGUCAGUGGUACUAUCAUUGAUCAGAUUGCUACAGCCAGACACUGGAGUGACAUCUUUGAUCCUUUUCUCUACUUUAAAUUUCCCCUACCAGUGAUGCUCCUUCCAAUCACCCAGUCCCAUGUAUUCUAGUUGAGAGGGAGAGAAUGCGCAUGUACAUGCACACGAGUUGGAGAUGGGCAGAGGGAGAGAGAAUCUCAAGCAGGCCCCAUGCCCAGCUCAGAGUACAACGUGGGACUUCAUCUCACAACCCUGAAAUCAUGACCAGAGCUGAAAUUAAAGUAAGAUGCUUAACCAACACAGCCCCCAGGCACCCCUAUACUUUUCUACUUUUAGUAGUUAUUUUAUUUUAUAAUAAUUAAUCAUGUAUUUUUCCCUUGCUAGAGUACAAGACCUUGAAAGCGAAGACAGUGUCUUUCCCUCUGUAACAUUCUUACAGUGACCGAUAAGGCCUUGCAUCAUCUGCUGCCAUCACCUUUUCUGCUCUCAUUACCUAAAUUCUCCCUCAUUUCUUCAUUUCAACUUCCUUACUUGUCUCUCUAACUUGCUUUCUCCAGCUUGGCCUCUUUGCUGCUUCUCUAACUUUCCAGGCAUGAUCCUGCCUUAAGGCCUUCAUACGUGCUAUCCCCUCUACCUAGAAUGUAUUUCCUCCAGUUUUCUGUGUGGCUCUCUCCCUCAUCUGCUUUGGAUUUUUAUUCAAAGGCCACAUUGUCAAUGGAGUCUUCUCUGACCAUCCGAUCUCUUACCUCCCACUAACAUUCCUAUCCCUCUCCCUGCUUUAUUUUUUACUUUAGCUUUUACCACUGUCUAAUAUACUUUUAUGGUUUAAUAUCAUUCCCGCUACACUAGAAUGUGAACUCCAUAAGGGCAAGGACUUCUGUCUUUUUGGUUCAACUGUCUCCCCAGUACCUGGAGUUAUGAUCUAACACAAAGGAGUCAGUGGAACUGUUCCCACUACUCUGACCCUAGUCAUUUUAUAAAAUAAGCCGUUCAUCUUUUUAGGCACUAAAUUAUUCUAAUCACCUGGGAAGUCUUUCAUCUUCCUGAUUGCUUUAACCUGUUAUUUCCAGAAUAAGUAUGUCUUUGGAGGGGAUGGAGAAACCAGAACUAAAAAUCAAUCUUCUCAUGAGAAUCUGAAAGCAGAAAUUUACUGAGGUCCUUUAAGUUUCAGUUGUAUCUGAAUAAUAAAUAUCCUGAAAACUAAGAGAACAUUUGAUGUGAGGCCAGAGCUACUGGUCUUAUUAAACAUGCCUCCUCUUCCUGGACAGCUCCUAGGGUAAUGGUUCCUUAUCUUUCUGUGAAGGGAGUAGAUGCUCAGGGAAAAACUGAUUCUCUCAAGUCACUGAUGCCCUUUUUAUGUUGAAACCCAUGGAUUGGCCUGACAGUACAAUCAGCCUGGUCAUUUGGGUAGAAAUGUGAGGUUUCUAAAGCCAAACCAGCUGUGCAGUUAGAUGGAGACCCAUUUCCUGAGCAGGAAAUGGCAAAGAAGAAUCAUAUUAAAUGACCACAAUGUGGGUAUCUAGUCAUUUUGUAAAAUUCCAACACCUUGCAAUGAUCAACAACUCUAGGGGAAAACCACAUCCAGUCUCACAAUAUGUAAGCCUGAUUCAUGACUAACGAUUCAUCACAGAUGUUUGAUUCAACUUCCAUUUUCAGAGUUAUAAGAUGAGCAAACAGAUGCUCACCACCCUGUAAUUUCAAGGGAAUAUCUUACUGCAACUACAACUAAGCACAGUUUCUAUAGGAACAUGUGAAAAAUUGUUACAGAGAAAACUGGGAAUGAUCAUUUAUAACACAAAAUAGAAGUGAAAGUAAAUACAGCAAAAUUUGAAUUUUUGACCCCCCAAGGUAAAGAUCCUAGUUAGUUAAAGCCAAAGGAAAGGAGAAAAUGGAAUGCCAUAUUUGAUUGGGUGUUCUAAACACAAGACUUGCAAAAACAGCUCAUGCCAUGUCAUCAUUACAAAAUAACAGAAGACUUGCCAACAAAAAGGAAAUCAUGUGGGUACAAUGAGAAAACAGAGUUGAAGAAGCUGUUAUUUAGUUAAACGUUCUAACAAUGCAGAAGAUUUGGGUAACAAUUAGGCUGCAAAUGAUCAAGAUAAAGUUUGGGAGAAGAGGAAGAUAGCAGCCAUCAAUUGUGUGUUGCUGGAGUGAAGUUCAACGGGAACCAAACUGAAAUGUUUGGAACCAGAAUGAAAGUCUACGUGGUAAUUUAAUUAAAACAGACGUCCAGACCAGCAGAGAAGGAAGGAAAAGAGAGAGAUGUAGAACUAGAAAAGAUAACUUCUGGAAGAAUUUCCUGUAAUUGGGAGCGAUUAGGUGAAAUGGUGAAGUAUGGUUGUAGUUCAGAAGAAAGGAU